AGUAGCUGGUACAGAGUGCUUAGAUCUGUGGCCCUCAGCUGAUGAGAAAGCUGAAACUAAAGUUAACAAAGAAUGUGUGAGCUUGUCUUGGAUUACAUUCCUGGUGACCUGAUUAGGAACACUCAUCAGAUAACUCAUGAUGGAAUACUAACUACAUUAAGUGUCCUCUCAUCAGCACUGACAAGAAUUGUACAUGCAGUAAUAAGUUUGUGUCCUGAGGAGUGAGCUUUGAGGGCUUGCCCACAAUGAAAGAUCGCUUGGAGGAACUGCGACAGAAGGCUCAGGAGUUCUCUGGGACAGCAAAUGAGGAUAUUGAGCCUUACUCAGUAGAUGAUGAUAGCAAUGACUUUAUGGUGAUCGGGAUCAUAACGCCACAGGGUGUUGUGCUGGAGGAGGAGCCGGUCAUUAAGAAUUUGUUGUCUGAGGCUCAGCAAAUCCGAGACGAUGUCACAGCACUGGAGUCAGAGGUCUUAAAGUUUACCCAGCAACAAAAGACCCUGGUAGCAACCAUGCGUCGAUUCAGUGUGAUGAAGAAAGAGAACAGCAUAGCACGAGACAUCAAGCUGAAGGCCGAAAACCUCAACCGUCGUUUAGAUGCCUUUUUAAAACAGGUUCAACAAACUGAGGCUCAGCAUCAACCUACUGCUGCUACAGCGAGAAUACAACGCUCCCAGUAUGCAGCGCUGAACCUCAAAUUCCAGCAGAUAAUGCGGCAAUAUAAUGAAGGUCUGCUGACCAAGCAGGAGCGCUGUAAGGACUUCAUUAUCCGGCAGCUGGAGGUACUGGGAAAGGAUGUGGCGGAGGAGGAGGUGAAUGAGAUGUUUGCCACAGGAAAAUGGGAGGUCUUCAAUGAGAAUCUGCUGAAUGAUGCCAAAAUCACACGGUCACAGCUAUCUGAGAUCGAACAGCGACACAAGGAGUUGUUGAGCCUAGAGAACAAUAUGAAAGAAGUGAGGGAUCUCUUUGUGGACAUUUUCAUGCUGGUGGAGGAACAAGGGUACCACAUCGAACACAUCCAGACCAACGUAGAGCGAACUCAGGAUUAUGUGUUAGCAUCUAAUGAAAAAUUCAGACUGGCCACCAGGUAUAAGAAGAAGAAUCCGCUCCGACAGCUGUGCUGCUGCUGCUGCCCUCCCUGGAGAUGCUGCUGUUAACACAUAUGCAUUUUUAUCUCAAUGGUAACUCCAAAUAGUGUUUAAUUUUAAAGGUCUCACAUACCUGUUGGGAGUAAGCAACCAUGAAAACAAGUACCAUUAAAGUGAAGGUUAUGGUACUGCAGUUUUUGAACAGAGUGACAGUAAAGACAGAUUCACUAGAGCACAGAAAACAAUUAGGAGCCAGAAUUGGUAUUUGAGGCACUUGUUUCUUUCAAGAGGAUGUGAAGCAGCCGCUACUGGAAGAGACAGUUGCUCAGUGACACUACUGCUUAUUGGAGACCUUCCCUGUCAUCUGACAGAGGUCACAAACAAGGUGAGACCAUUGCCUUUGUCACUGCCACUGCAAGAUCAGCAAAACUGAUAUUUCACCUUUUUUUCCAAAUGGGCAUUUCUUCUUAUUCUUUGAGCACUUUUUAAGAAAAAUAUACAGUAGUAUAUGCACAUUAAGAUGAAUCUAAAGUAUUAUUAUUCUACUUUAUUUUGUAACAUUAACUGAAAUGCAAUGUAAUUGAGAAAUAAUAGCUUUCUGAGAGAUUUUGAGACAUUAUAUAUUCAUUUAAUCUUUGGCCCACAUGCAGAUAGAAAAAGAACAUGUUUUACAAUUUGUUAUUAGUAUCAUUUGCAUUUGAAAGUUUCAUCAUUUUCAGUGAGCAUUUUUUAAAUUAAUUUAUUCAGUUUCAUAGAGGCAGAGAUCCAAGUAAGACUAAAUAAUGAGCCCUGGCCAAAAUAUUUCUAUCAUGCUGGCAAAACUGCAGAAUAACACUGAAUAUCACUUUUUUUUUAAUAAAAUGGGCAAUUCAAAUUCUCACAUUUCAAGAAAUAUUCCAAUUCUCUUGAUGUUUGGUGUUUUAGAGUACAGUGUCAAUUUAUGAUUCUGUUAUAGUGUUCAGAUAAAAACCUCUGGUAUCCAUAUCACCAUGUUGCACAAAAGAGGCAGCUCUAGUACAGAAGGACUAAAGGACCAAGAAUAUGCUUUAUACAGUAACUGACAGUUUUCUGUUCCUUAAUGUUGAGUUACUAGCUCAAUUUUUCUGCUGAGAUAAUGACUAAAAUAUAAUGAAUCAAUAAUUUCAGGAGAUACAACCACAUCCUACUGUUCAUCUCACUUGUUUGCAAAAUGCUUUUAAAACUAGCUACUCAUUAGCCACAACAGUGAUGAUUUUCAGUAACCUAUGGUGUCAGGUGUAAAGGACAAAUAUAGGUGAGCGUGGCAUACAGAAGUCAGACUGGAAAAUCUGGUUCAUCUGUUAUUCCACAAUAGCUACCAGACAGCUACUGUAUGUUCCCGUAGGGGACAAUGUGUAAACAUCACCGUUAACUUCCAGCAGAUGGUAAGAGGACUCACCCUUGUUAAACAGUUUUCUUGUUAAAUAUAAUACUUCUAGGUUUAGAUAAUAAUUAAAGCAUUUAAGUUUAACUUAGAAAGUGGAAGCGGAGCAGAGGUAUGGAGGUGUGAGUGGGUUAAACAGUGUGAAAAUGGAAAAAGCGUAGUUUGGGUCAGGUCCGGCUCCUGAACUUCAGAUAAUCACAUUAUCUUCAUUUUGUACAAGUAUUGAUUCAUGUGACACAUAAGGAAGCACCACUUGUCAGUAUGGCACUGCCAGAAGUCUAGCAGUGGUACCAGGUGUGACAUGUGAGGUGGUGUUUGACUUCUGCUAUAUGACUGUAAUAGUUUUUUACUGAAUCUGAUCAUCUGUGUUGCACGCCACUGUCACUCUGAUUAGAAUGGCAUUUUGAAACAACAUAAAUACAUCAAAUAUAAAAAUCAAACAGCAACACAAUGUAAUGCAGUACAGCAUAUGUUCUGUUUCUCCUCACAGACUCUAAGCACUGCUGCAAAUUGCAGGGUUCCUGAACAGCAACAAUGCCAUCCAGUGUUCACUGAGAUAAUUGCCAGUUAAAAAGGAAUAGGUUACCACUUCCUGUUUAAAAUGAUAAAGGGCAUAUUACUACUAGAUUAUGUCUCUAUGCAAGUGUCAUUCUCACUGUAAAUUUGACACAAAAUGUUUUAAGAAUGAAAGAAAAGUAUGCAUUGCUAUAGUGUUUUAUUAUUUUUGAGCUCUAAUAAACAGCCCAUGUAGGUCAUUCCUCCUAAUAGGAGAACACUAGUUCACACUCAAAACUAGUUCACACUAGUUCAGCAAAAACAAAAAAGAAAGGAAGAUUUAAUCUUCUACAUACAGGUUCUACGUCUGCUGCAUAAACAAUGACAGUGUUUUUGCUGCUUCCGCUCCAUGAUAUCAAACAACAUGAAAACAGGCUCUUCUCUUAAAAUUUAUCUGGAUUCUGUUGCUUGUCCCUUACUGUUAAAGAUCUACAGUAUGUCUAGUCAUCGUAUGGCAUCAGAAACUAUGACAAUGGAACUUUUUCUUGUGUUAUACCUAUGUGUAACACAAGCAAAUGCAUUACACACUGAGCUGUCAGAAAUAUGCACAGCAACCUCUAUAAGGUCUCAUCUCUCCAAAUAUAUUAAGAGCAGAACAGCAGGGAUCAAGCAUGUCUGCAAACUUGAGAGAAAGUUUCUGGGGUUUAUAUUAGCAGGCCUUGGGAGCACGAAGCCAUGGGAUAGUGAACAGAAGUCAGUUCAGUAACCACUGGACAUCUGACUCCCAGUCAAGUCACCCUCUCUUACUCUGUAAGGUGGGUGCCUGGGACCGAAGAGUAGGGCAGAGGACACAGCAUUUAAAUUUCAAAAAAGAUGGGUUUUUAUUUACCC
This is an RNA transcript of Monopterus albus (swamp eel), 3873 nucleotides long. It is a transcript of the gene named syntaxin 19, with no coding region annotated. The record is from RefSeq and is a predicted model, not a curated record. The transcript has 6 exons. NCBI's taxonomy places the organism in Eukaryota, Metazoa, Chordata, Actinopteri, Synbranchiformes, Synbranchidae.